AAUGGGCAUGUGAUGAAUCUUAUAGUAACAAAUGGGUAAUUUGCGUCUGAAUUCAUUUCAUUGAUGCUAUAUCACGUUGGAAACCUGAUGCCCUUG
Molecule: small nucleolar RNA, 96 nt
Organism: Gastrolobium bilobum
Lineage: Eukaryota; Viridiplantae; Streptophyta; Magnoliopsida; Fabales; Fabaceae
Source: RefSeq, a predicted model, not a curated record